CAAGCUAACAGUCAUCAUCUUGAAUCAAUUCGACAAUCUACUGUAAAAUCCUUUUCAAUCCUUGUCAUAUGAAGAGAAAUUAUGAAGAGAAAUUAUAGAUAAAAUGUUUCGGUGCUCAUCGGCCAUUGGACAUAAACAACAAGUUGGAACUUGCAAAUUCAACAAUGAGUGGUUUGGAAGGAAUCGGUGGCUAACUGCAAGCAUUGCAAAGCAAUCACUAGCCUGCUCUUCAGUGGAGUGGAUGUGUGGUCCAAGUCUGAGUUUAAGAGUCUCUUUUCCAAGCUUAAAAGGAUAAACAUUCAACAUUGGCCAUGCUGUCAAUCCAGAAUGACUUCUGCCCCUUUCAAAACAACUGGAAACUCAGAAUUGGGAAAUCUCAGACUUCAGUGAGUUCAAGACCUCUGAAAAAAACGAGCUCCGACUGGGAAAAUACAUUUUGAACGGUCAUCCAACUCGGAAUUCCAACCUGCCUCUAUCUAGAACUCCAACCUAAAGAUCACUAAUGUCAUGAUUCAACCUUGUUUUUUUCUGAAUCCCCUGCUGUCUUGAAAGCACCAUAAAUCCAGAGAAUGCCAGACUUUGAUGGCAAAGUUUGAUGACAAAAUUUGCCCACGAAGGAGCGCAGUGCCACAUUCCUGUUCAAGUGAACACAGCACAACAAUCUCCAAGGCAUAGUGAUUGGUCUCUGCUAUGUCUCCCACCAGCUCCUCUGUCAGAAAGAACAGAUGGAAAUGGCAAGGGGCGUUGCACUCCAGACUGGGACUCAUCAAAGCAAACAGCAGGGCCAGGAGGGGUGAAAUGGCUGGCAGCCUUCCAGCUACCACAGUACUCCUGAUCCAUUGUCGGUCUGCUUCCAACACCAUCAGCAUCUUCAAAGGGAACUGGAACUUUGUCAGUGGUAUAGGGGUCCUCAGAUUCAGGGUUCUCAAUGGCUGGGGGGCAGCUCCUCACUGUCAGAAUCUGAUUCCUGGCUUUCAGACUCAUUGUCAGAAUUGUUUUAAAUCUCCAGAAUUUCCUAAUUUGUGAGUUGUCUCCUUUUGAAAGACAUUGCUAAUGCUACAGCUUAGCUCACUAGCUACAUACAUAGACAACAACACUAAAUGGCUCGGAGUGAGCGGUUACGUGAUUGACUGCCUGCACACGCCAUUUGUAUCAAUAAAUCACUAUCAGAAAAUGUUUUGU
Long non-coding RNA from Oncorhynchus tshawytscha (Chinook salmon), 1182 nucleotides. Lineage: Eukaryota; Metazoa; Chordata; Actinopteri; Salmoniformes; Salmonidae. The record is from Ensembl.